CCUACGGGUGGCAGCAGUAGGGAAUAUUGCUCAAUGGGGGAAACCCUGAAGCAGCAACGCCGCGUGGAUGAUGAAGGUUUUCGGAUCGUAAACUCCUUUUGUUAGAGAAGAUAAUGACGGUAUCUAACGAAUAAGCACCGGCUAACUCCGUGCCAGCAGCCGCGGUAAUACGGAGGGGGCAAGCGUUACUCGGAAUAACUGGGCGGAAAGAGCACGUAGGCGGGAUAGCAAGUCUGAUGUGAAAUCCUAUGGCUUAACCAGAGAAGUGCAUUGGAAACUGUUAGACUUGAGUACGGGAGAGGUGGGUGGAACUCUAGGUGUAGGGGUAAAAUGCGUAGAGAUAAGGAAGAAUACUCGUGGCGAAGGCGACCUGCUAGAACGUAACUGACGCUGAGGCGCGAAAGCGUGGGUAGCAAACAGGAUUAGAUACCCCUGUAGUC
RNAcentral lists this ribosomal RNA (440 nucleotides) under uncultured bacterium. RNAcentral describes it as "partial 16S ribosomal RNA". It matches the Rfam family "Bacterial small subunit ribosomal RNA", at positions 338 to 795 of the family's 1533-position model. The record is from RNAcentral.